Prionailurus viverrinus (fishing cat) is the source of this 766-nucleotide long non-coding RNA. RefSeq lists it as uncharacterized. Lineage: Eukaryota; Metazoa; Chordata; Mammalia; Carnivora; Felidae. The transcript has 3 exons. The record is from RefSeq and is a predicted model, not a curated record.
UCAGGAGCUUCAGCUCCUCCCCCAUCCACUGCUUUCAGCACCUCAUCCAGAGUGUUUAACUAUACAUUUAUUCAUUCAACAGACAUUUAUUGAGUGCUUACUGCAUGCCAGGCACUGGGCCUGUAGGGAUGUGUAGGAACUGCUUCUGAACAGCCCCGAAUAUCGAUGACCACACCCUGUUAACCUCAGGAGAUGAAUCCAAGACCUAUCUUUGGAGAGCCUGAACUCAGAAGUCCAAGUCCUGCCACUUCCUGGAGUGUGCCUUUAGGCACAGUACUUCACCUGUCUGAGCUGCAGUGUCCUCAGGGGGAAAUCAGGAUGGCUCCUUGCGGCUCAGUCUUCUGGGUGUGAACCCCAGGUGGCCUGAUGCAUAUUCCCCAUCCCUACAGAAACCCACAAGAGUUUUGAUGGGGGAAUGGAAGGUAGGAUGUGAUCUUCCUAGGCCCGGUAGAGAAGUCUCUCUGGCAUGGCAGGCUGCUUGGGGAACUGUGAUUUCACACCAGAAAAUUCUGAAGAGUCUCAGGGCCUGGGAUCUAUACUUUCUAAAAUACAUGUGUGUACAUGUAUCUGUGUUCACGUUUGUGGGUAUGCCCGUGUGCACUGUGGCCACGUGUGUGUCUGGAGGGAGACUUAAGCAGGCUGACAGGCCAUCUUUCAUGCUGCUUCCAGAGAGGUCUUUCUUAAAGGCACAAUGGAUCGUGUCAUUCUUUUGCCGAAAACCCUUCCAUAAAUCCUCAGUGUCCCUAGGAAAAUGAACUGGCUUCUA